GACCUUAUGUGUUCCAUGGAAGUUCAUUUAAAUCACAAAGCCUCAUUUACUGGAAGAAAUACCUUUUAGUCUAUAAAAACUGGCAUAGGUCAUGUGAGCAAUAAACUGAUCUUUUGCUGAUGGCGUUCUAAGCAGAUACAGGUAUAUUCUUGUGGCUUAGGGUUAAUGAUGAGCUACUGAUUAUAUUAAAAGUAAUACAAGACUAUCUUUGUUUUCAGGUACAAAGAGCUCUAAAAAGUA
Molecule: long non-coding RNA, 240 nt
Filed under: Bos taurus (domestic cattle)
Lineage: Eukaryota; Metazoa; Chordata; Mammalia; Artiodactyla; Bovidae
Description: long non-coding RNA NONBTAT007459
Source: RNAcentral